This 477-nucleotide ribosomal RNA is filed under the name uncultured organism. RNAcentral describes it as "partial 16S ribosomal RNA". It matches the Rfam family "Bacterial small subunit ribosomal RNA", at positions 333 to 801 of the family's 1533-position model. The record is from RNAcentral.
ACACUCCUACGGGAGGCAGCAGUGGGGAAUUUUGGACAAUGGGCGAAAGCCUGAUCCAGCAAUGCCGCGUGCAGGAUGAAGGCCUUCGGGUUGUAAACUGCUUUUGUACGGAACGAAAAAGCUCCUUCUAAUACAGGGGGCCCAUGACGGUACCGUAAGAAUAAGCACCGGCUAACUACGUGCCAGCAGCCGCGGUAAUACGUAGGGUGCGAGCGUUAAUCGGAAUUACUGGGCGUAAAGCGUGCGCAGGCGGUUAUGUAAGACAGAUGUGAAAUCCCCGGGCUCAACCUGGGAACUGCAUUUGUUACUGCAUGGCUAGAGUACGGUAGAGGGGGAUGGAAUUCCGCGUGUAGCAGUGAAAUGCGUAGAUAUGCGGAGGAACACCGAUGGCGAAGGCAAUCCCCUGGACCUGUACUGACGCUCAUGCACGAAAGCGUGGGGAGCAAACAGGAUUAGAAACCCGGGUAGUCCCAUGAU